This is a long non-coding RNA of Poecile atricapillus (Black-capped chickadee), 258 nucleotides long. RefSeq lists it as uncharacterized. The record is from RefSeq and is a predicted model, not a curated record. Lineage: Eukaryota; Metazoa; Chordata; Aves; Passeriformes; Paridae. The transcript is spliced from 3 exons.
UGGCAGCGCGUCAUGUGUGUGCCCACUCACUGGCUCCUGCCCUCGUACCCGAUCCCCUCCCCUCACAUCCCGCUGAAUGGCGAGUAGGGUCCUGAGUGAAAAUGGGACCUCAUCAGAUGGUAUAACUGCUCUAUCCGAAUAUUUGGAUGAAAACAGCAGCAGAUUCCUUCCUCUAGAUUUUCUAGAGUUUUAUUUGGAGGAUUCCCCACAUAACAGGAUGACUGAGAAGUGUUAAAUACAAUCCGAAGAGCUGCAGAG